CAUGAAGCCGGAAUCGCUAGUAAUCGCAGAUCAGAAUGCUGCGGUGAAUACGUUCCCGGGUCUUGUACACACCGCCCGUCACACCAUGGGAGUCGAUAACGCCCGAAGUCAGUGACCCAACCGAGAGGAGGGAGCUGCCGAAGGCGGGAUGGAUAACCGGGGUGAAGUCGUAACAAGGUAAC
RNAcentral lists this ribosomal RNA (182 nucleotides) under uncultured bacterium. RNAcentral describes it as "partial 16S ribosomal RNA". It matches the Rfam family "Bacterial small subunit ribosomal RNA", at positions 1319 to 1500 of the family's 1533-position model. The record is from RNAcentral.